GUGGGGAAUCUUCCGCAAUGGACGAAAGUCUGACGGAGCGACGCCGCGUGAGUGAAGAAGGCCUUCGGGUCGUAAAGCUCUGUCAUCAGGGACGAACGGCCGGUGGAGUGGAAAGCCACCGGAUUGACGGUACCUGAGAAGGAAGCCACGGCUAACUACGUGCCAGCAGCCGCGGUAAUACGUAGGUGGCAAGCGUUGUCCGGCAUUAUUGGGCGUAAAGCGCGCGCAGGUGGGAUCUUAAGUGCAUUUUUAAAGUUCGGAGCUCAACUCCGUGAUGGGAUGGAAACUGGGAUUCUUGAGUACCGGAGAGGAAAGCGGAAUUCCCCGUGUAGCGGUGAAAUGCGUAGAUAUGGGGAGGAACACCAGUGGCGAAGGCGGCUUUCUGGACGGUGUCUGACACUGAGGCGCGAAAGCCAGGGGAGCGAACGGGAUUAGAUACCCUAGUAGUCC
RNAcentral lists this ribosomal RNA (450 nucleotides) under uncultured bacterium. Its description in RNAcentral is "partial 16S ribosomal RNA". It matches the Rfam family "Bacterial small subunit ribosomal RNA", at positions 354 to 796 of the family's 1533-position model. The record is from RNAcentral.